RNAcentral lists this ribosomal RNA (216 nucleotides) under Glomeromycotina sp. RNAcentral describes it as "partial small subunit ribosomal RNA". The stretch from base 40 to 216 matches the Rfam family "Eukaryotic small subunit ribosomal RNA", at positions 686 to 864 of the family's 1831-position model. The record is from RNAcentral. Lineage: Eukaryota; Fungi; Glomeromycota.
GGGUCAGUAGGUUGGUCGUGCCACCGGUACGUACUGGUCUCACUGAUUCCUCAUUCCUGAAGAACCGUAAUGCCAUUAAUUUGGUGUUGCGGGGAAACAGGACUGUAACUUUGAAAAAAUUAGAGUGUUUAAAGCAAGCUAACGCUUGAAUACAUUAGGAUGUAAUAAUGAAAUAGGACGAUCGAUCCUAUUUUGUUGGUUUCUAGGAUUGACGUA